This is a long non-coding RNA of Exaiptasia diaphana, 761 nucleotides long. RefSeq lists it as uncharacterized. The record is from RefSeq and is a predicted model, not a curated record. NCBI's taxonomy places the organism in Eukaryota, Metazoa, Cnidaria, Anthozoa, Actiniaria, Aiptasiidae. The transcript is spliced from 2 exons.
CACUCAUUAUUUCUACAUGUUCUCAUACACUAAUCUUGGGCCCUCUGUGGCUCCUGAUCUUCUCCGAUUUGAGAAUACUAGGGGUUAGGGUCACAAGACAUAGAGUUAGAUCCUUCUGGGAAUACAGGCUUUUAGUAUUACCAUACUAGUGGACUAUUGCAAAUCCUUCGUUCUGAUUGGCUACGCUACUCGGGGUCUAUUUUCAAUAGUCCUCGACUAGCGAAACUGAGCGACAAAUUUUUGCGUAUUUUUAGCAAUAAAAUCAUUUAGUUAUUUAUAUAUUUCAUUUUUUUUUUGUCCAACUAGUAUGGCAAUACUAAAACAAUUAGGGAGGCCUCUCGUCACUUACGUCAUCCUGUUCAUAUGACCGAAGCCGAAACCAUCUACUUGUAGCAGGCGUUCCUUGCGAGUCCAGAGAAACUCCCAAGAAAAAAACCUACAGCAAAGUAACAAGAGCAAAGAAAAAGAAGAAGAGAAAAAGCAUAUAUAAAGCAAGAAAGGAGAAAAAAAAUGAGAAACAAACGAAAAAGAGUCAAUAAAAAAGGGAAAAAGAGAAAUUCCACCAGCAGAACUUGAACUCAGGAACUUCACUUCAGAAGAAGAUGUAACCCCCCGUUAUCAGUUCCAGCAAUGGGUUUAACCGGGAAAGUAGCGUCACGCUAACUGUGACAAGAAACCAAAGGUGCUCGAAAUAGAAACGUUAUAACUGAAUCAACAUCUUUUUUUAGAUUGCUAAUAAACUUGUAAAAGGUUUUUUCUUA